This 253-nucleotide unclassified non-coding RNA is filed under the name uncultured Anaerolineae bacterium. Its description in RNAcentral is "contains 16S-23S intergenic spacer region". It matches the Rfam family "Bacterial small subunit ribosomal RNA", at positions 524 to 776 of the family's 1533-position model. The record is from RNAcentral. Lineage: Bacteria; Bacillati; Chloroflexota; Anaerolineae.
AACGUAGGACGCGAGCGUUAUCCGGAGUUACUGGGCGUAAAGCGCGGGCAGGCGGCUUGUCAAGUCUGAUGUGAAAGCUCCCGGCUUAACCGGGAGAGGCCAUUGGAAACUGAUGAGCUGGAGGGCAGGAGAGGUGUGUGGAAUUCCGGGUGGAGUGGUGAAAUGCGUAGAGAUCCGGAGGAACACCAGAGGCGAAGGCGGCACACUGGGCUGCACCUGACGCUGAACCGCGAAAGCCAGGGGAGCGAACGGG